GUCUCUGUGGCGCAAUCGGUUAGCGCCUUCGGCUGUUAACCGAGAGGUUCGUGGUUUGAGUUCACGAAGGGAAG
This 74-nucleotide transfer RNA is filed under the name Hofstenia miamia. Its description in RNAcentral is "tRNA-Asn for anticodon GUU". It matches the Rfam family "tRNA". Rfam says of the family: Transfer RNA (tRNA) molecules are approximately 80 nucleotides in length. Lineage: Eukaryota; Metazoa; Xenacoelomorpha; Acoela; Hofsteniidae. The record is from RNAcentral.